UGGGGAAUUUUGCGCAAUGGGGGAAACCCUGACGCAGCAACGCCGCGUGGAGGAUGAAAUCCCUUGGGAUGUAAACUCCUUUCGAUCGGGACGAUUAUGACGGUACCGGAAGAAGAAGCCCCGGCUAACUUCGUGCCAGCAGCCGCGGUAAUACGAGGGGGGCAAGCGUUGUUUGGAAUUAUUGGGCGUAAAGGGCGCGUAGGCGGUUUGACAAGUCUGAUGUGAAAUCUAUGGGCUCAACCCAUAGCCUGCAUUAGAAACUGUCGGGCUUGAGUAUGGGAGAGGUGAGUGGAAUUUCCGGUGUAGCGGUGAAAUGCGUAGAUAUCGGAAGGAACACCUGUGGCGAAAGCGGCUCACUGGACCAUAACUGACGCUGAGGCGCGAAAGCUAGGGGAGCAAACAGGAUUAGAUACCCUGGUAGUCCUAGCCCUAAACGAUGAUUGCUUGGUGUGACAGGUACCCAAUCCUGUCGUGCCGAAGCUAACGCGAUAAGCAAUCCGCCUGGGGAGUACGGUCGCAAGGCUGA
Molecule: ribosomal RNA, 526 nt
Filed under: uncultured Acidobacteriota bacterium
Lineage: Bacteria; Pseudomonadati; Acidobacteriota
Description: bacterial SSU rRNA
Rfam family: Bacterial small subunit ribosomal RNA
Source: RNAcentral